UGAUAUAUGCUGAGAAUUUUCAUUUUGACUUCAGAUAUCUUCAGCCUUGUCAUUUCUAGUAUGCAAAUGAGUUCUCUGGUAAAACCUACGUUGCGGGAUACUCUUUUGCUCAUUGGACCUGAGAGGGAGGAUGAGCAAGUGAGGCAACAUAUCAUUGAAGACUAGUGAGAUGUUUUUUGGACCGUGGAAAGUCUUAGAGGUAUUAAGACUUUAUAAGAAGCAGUGGUCUGUAUGUCCCUAGUUGGAUAGUUUAUUUUGUACAUCCUUGAUUUCUGCAAGAAAUAGAACUUCUUAUUAAGACAAGAAAUGAAAUUUGUCAGGACUGAAGUUUUUUAUGGAAGUUUAUUAUUUUAAUUCUAUGUUGAUGCUCGUGACCUUUGUGAUGUCCUUUUUCAGACAUUACUAACUGGCAUAGGCCUGUGUUGCCUCAGAAACAUGGAUAAAGUAGUAUAGGAAUUGAAAUAUUCUCUGAUGAUUAAUAUUCAGUUAUUUUGUUUGUUGCUUAAUAAGAUGGUGUUCUAUCAUUUUCAAUUGAAAUGGUGUUAUGCCAACCAGAACUUACAGCUAAACUGUUCUGCACAGGUGCCAUGGUGGAACCAUUUGGCUCUUAUGUAUCUAAGCAUUUGACCAGAACAUAUCUAUAGAGAUACAUAGAGGUCGCAUAUUUUAACUAUUUGGAGAAACCAGAAGGAAAAUUUACUAGAAACUGUACUAGAAGCUCUCAGAAGUGAGGGUACCUGCCUCCUUUUUAGUAAUCUGCUUGACAAUUGACAUAUAGGUGUGUUGACUAAAUCAUUGUGAGAUAAUUUAUUUAAGGUUGAUUUUUCAGGAAAAACUAGAGACCUCUUUCAGAAUUUAGCUGUUAAAAAUUCAAAUAACUUGACACUGAAUAGUACUUUCUUUGUUCCAUACAGGUUUGAGAACUGCAGCUGUUGAACAAAUUGCAAGAACAUUUGCUGCAGACAAAAACUGGUUUAAACGGUCUAGGCGGAGAAAUGAAAGUUCUCUGAUCUGCUCGUUUCAUUCUUUGCAAAGGUAUUUUUACACAUUUUCGGUUAAACUAUAUAUUCUGCUCUACAUUCAAUUUAUCUAAUAAAGUGGGAUGUUGGUAUGACUACUGGUGAACUUUCUUCCCACAAUGAGAACUCUGUAGCUGCUUAAUCAAUGCAUGUUUAGCUCCUUUUUCACUUCUUACAAAUUUAUUCUUAGGUUGAGGAUCCUUUUGAGCAGCCUAAUAAUACUGCAAGGCCUAUUACCAACAACCUUCAGACAGAAACACUGGGGGAAACUAUGACGGGAGUCAUCCACAGGUCAACAGAGAAGCAUCAGCACCAUCACAGUCGCAUCUAACUUAAUAUGUAAUGAAUGAUAAACGUUCUAACAUUGCGACUGUCAGCAGACCAGUGCAGACAAUUCAAGCACAACAGAUCUGGAGGGCAAAACCCAAGAGCUAAAUUCCACGAGGAUGGACCUACAGCCUGCCUUCGUAUAUUAAUUAUUGAUAAAGAUAAUAUUGCUUAUUGUUAAUCAAGUCUUUAUAAAUGGUUUGUUGUAAAAAUAACAUUAUAACCAUUAUGUUUAAAGUCAAUGUAAAUGUUUUACAGUAAUAAAUUGUGUGUUGGCCUAGCUUUGGAGCCUGUGGUACAGGUAACAUUACUGUUGUGAGGGUUUCAUAUCAGGGGAAAUGAAUUUUAUUUUGCACUAAAAUAUCCCCUUUAAAAAAGAACCACUCACGAUCACAAUCAUUUGGUUGGGUGGUAUGAGAAAUUGGGUAUGGUUAGUUCAUACACAAUCAUUUGGUUGGGUGGUAUGAGAAAUUGGGUAUGGUUAGUUCAUACAUUUCAUUUUAGUGGAGAUACAUUUCAUUCCAUCACUCGAAUAGAUAGGUGAUAGUCUAACUCUAUAUCCCUCUGGCCUGAUUUGUGAUUCCAAUUCUAUACCAGUCAGAGAACCAACCAAUUUUUAGGAGUCAUAUUUUCUGACACUAGCUUAUGAUUGUCCUUUUAGUUAUUGUAGGAAUUGCAUGAGAUUGUACUAUUCAAUUUAAGUGCUGAGACAAUUGCAUAUACUAACCCUAAAUUAUCAUUCAAAAAUGAUUUUGUCCCACAAUUUUGAAUAAUUCAAAUCGCACCUUAUAAGUUUAACCCGCGAGAAGUUUGCACCCCUUCCGUUAAAUAUACAUAAUUGAUUUCUUUAAUGAAAUAUCAUUUUGAUAUUUUAAAAUAAUAAAACUAUAAUUAGAUAUCUCAAAAGUAUGAUACUCCCUCCGUUUCAAAAUAUAUGACGCUUUGACUUUUUGCACGUAAUUUAAAAUCCUUUGACCAUGUACUUAUAUUUAUUAUUUUUAAAAUUUUAUUUUUUAAGUAAAAGUAUAUAGUCAAAAUUUUAAAGUAUAAACUCUUUUUAAAAGAAAUGAUGAAUCUAGAUACUUGGUCAAAACACUUUGAAAUGUGUGUAAAAAGUCUGACAAAGAUGACAGAUGUAUUUCGAGCUACACACAAUAUGCUUACAUCAAAUUAUUAUAACCAGGCUACCCUUUCCGCUACACUAAUUAGACAAGAUCGAUUGUCACCAGCGAGAAGAUCUAUAUUCCGAAACAUGCCAGGAAACAACCGGAGUCGCCCACAGGUGAACCAAGCUUCAUCAUCACAGUCACAAUCACACCAAACUCUAGAAGUUCCAACAAUGAAAAUAUGAAGAGACCGGUGCAGACUCCUCAUAGUCAAACAAGGCAGAUUUGGAAUGCAAAACCAUCUUAAUCGAACUAGAAAUUUGUAAGAGGUUACAUCACUAAUCGUAUUUGAUAUCGUAUUGUGUGAGGUGGUUGUUUGUAUUGUUUUGGUAAUUUAACACCACUGACGAAAUCGGUAACAUAAAAAAAAUAAUAGUAAGAGCGAUUGUUUUUACGCACAAAAUUAGAUUUAUAUGAUAAUUGAAUCAUUAAAAGAAUUAUAAAUUUAAAUCUUCUAAGUAAAUUUUAGUUAAGUUUAAUAUAAGUAUAAAUUAAUCAAAAUUAAAAUAAUAAAUAUUGUUGAGUCAUGCACAAAUAUAAAAAAUGCGACGAAGAUUGAUGAUUAUUAAAUAAUUUUGAUAUCGAAAAUAUAUAAUUAAUGGAAAUAAAAAUAAAUUAGUUAAUUAUUUAUUUGAGGAAUUCUGAGACCCGAAGAUGAGUUCUAAUUAGAUAAUGAAAAGGAGUCUAAUAAGAUGAGUUAUAAUUGGAUUAUGAAGAAAGUUUGAUUCAAUUAUAUUAUAAACUAAAAAGUUAGUUAAAUUAUGAUUAACUUGUAUGUGGUUAAUAUUUUGGAUAAAAUUUAAUAUGAAUUUUUAGGUGUUGCUUCUAUUGAUCAUAAGAUAAUUCAACUUUACUUACAUUAAAUUAAAUUUAUUUUAAAAUUACUUAAAGUAAAUAUGAAAUUCUAUUAUUAUCUAAUCAAAUUAUUAUAUCAUAUUAUUAUAUAAUAUUCUAACUGGAUAGUGAAAAUGAGCCUAAUUAGAUGAGUUAUAAUUAAUGAAAAUGAAGUGAUUAAUUAUAUUAUUAUAUUAUAUAAAAAAAUUGUAAUGAUUUACUCAUGGUUAAUAUCUUGGUUAAAAUUUAAUAAAAGCAAAGUUGUAGAAUGAACAUUAUUGGUCUAAAAUUUAUGGGUGAACUCUGAUUCGUACUAAAAUAAUUCUUAUUUACUGAUUGGUUAACUGUAUAUUAUGGUACAAGGAAUGUUGAAAAAUUGAAUAUCAUUGAUAUAAAAUUUAGUAAUAACUUCUGAUUAAUUCUAAAAUAAGUCCUCUUUUUUUAGAGUAACUAAGAUAGGAAUUGGUAAAAGAUUGCCAAUGUUUAUGUGUCAUGACAUUUUUAGUUGCCAACUUAUUAGAGCUCCAUGAUUGCCAAUGAGUUGCUACUCAAAGUUGGCAACUACCUCGUUUAGCUAAAAACAAACUACAGUAUUAUCCAAAAACUAUAUUUAACCUUAACCAUUUAUGUAUUUGAAAUAGGUAUACAAUAUUUAUUUAGGGGAGCACAUUGACAAUUUUUAUAGUUGCCAACUAUUGGAGUGUAUUUUACAAAGAGGUUGCAAAUGUGAUAUGAAGGAGAGAUAAAAAAAAUUUUAAUAUAUAUACCAAGUUGGCAAGACUUAGCAACUAUUUUAGCAAAUGCAGACUCAGCAACUAUUUUAGCAACCCUUGUCGGAGAUGGUUAACUGUCAGUUAUGACGGGAAAAAACGGCAUACUGUAGUAGAUUCUUAUACAGUUAACCAAUCAGUAAAUUCUUAUUUACUGAUUGGUUAACUGUAUAUUAUGGUACAAGGAAUGUUGAAAAAUUGAAUAUCAUUGAUAUAAAAUUUAGUAAUAACUUCUGAUUAAUUCUAAAAUAAGUCCUCUUUUUUUAGAGUAACUAAGAUAGGAAUUGGUAAAAGAUUGCCAAUGUUUAUGUGUCAUGACAUUUUUAGUUGCCAACUUAUUAGAGCUCCAUGAUUGCCAAUGAGUUGCUACUCAAAGUUGGCAACUACCUCGUUUAGCUAAAAACAAACUACAGUAUUAUCCAAAAACUAUAUUUAACCUUAACCAUUUAUGUAUUUGAAAUAGGUAUACAAUAUUUAUUUAGGGGAGCACAUUGACAAUUUUUAUAGUUGCCAACUAUUGGAGUGUAUUUUACAAAGAGGUUGCAAAUGUGAUAUGAAGGAGAGAUAAAAAAAAUUUUAAUAUAUAUACCAAGUUGGCAAGACUUAGCAACUAUUUUAGCAAAUGCAGACUCAGCAACUAUUUUAGCAACCCUUGUCGGAGAUGGUUAACUGUCAGUUAUGACGGGAAAAAACGGCAUACUGUAGUAGAGUUGAGUGUUAUAAUAAAUGUUUAUCCAUUUAGAAAAGUGGAAUUAGUUUGGGAUUAAUCAAAGGUCACCCCUAUAUUUUAGACCAAUAAUGUUCAUUCUUCAACUGGGAUUUUAAUAUAUUUUAUACUCCCUCCGUCCCACAAUAGAAGUCUUUUUUGUAAGAAAUAUUUGUCCCAUAAACUUGUCAACUUUUAGUCUCCAAUGCAAUUAUAUUGACAAUAUUCCAAAGUUAAUACUGCAAGGACUGUUACCAACAACCAACUGACAAAGAUGGCAGAUGCAUUUCGAGCUACACACAAUAUGCUUGCAUCAAAUUAUUAUAACCAGGCUACCCUUUCCACUACACUAAUUAGACAAGAUCGAUUGUCACCAGCGAGACGAUCUAUAUUCCGAAACAUGCCAGGAAACAGCCGGAGUCGCCCACAGGUGAACCAAGCUUCAUCAUCACAGUGAUCACAAUCACACCAAACUCGGAAUUUCAGGAAUAAUAGAAGUUCCAACAAUGAAAAUAUGAACAGACCGGUGCAGACUCCUCAUAGUCAAACAAGGCAGAUUUGGAAGGCAAAACCAUCUUAAUCGAACUACUUUGUAACAGGCUACAGCACUGAUCGUAUUUGAUAUCAUAUUGUGUGCGGUGGUUGUUUGUAUUGUUUUGGUAUUGUGUACAGAUGCAUUUGCAUCUCCAAUAAUUAAUUCAAAAGGAUGAUCCCUUGUCCAUUUUUUUUGAGGUGGAAGUGAUUGUCUUGAUGAUGUAGCUUCAUUGUUAUAGUUCAGAUUUCCAUGUUGAAAAACUCCCCCUAAAUUUGACAUCUCAUUAUUUCUAGAUUGAUUAAAAUUUUGAGACACUCUUUCAACUGAUGAUCCUUGAGGGGUUUCAACUGAAGCCUCCAAAGUAGUUUCAACUGAUGCUUCAGUUGAGUUUUCAAUAGCAGUUGUCUCUUGCACCAAGGUCUCAUCAGUUGAAAUAUUAAUUCUAAGGUUAAUUCCAACAUUUUGAACAGAAUCAUCACAAUUAUCAUCACUAUCAUAUAGAUAACCUUCACCUUCAUUCUCAAAUCUGAGAUUAUCAUGAAAUCCUUCAUCUGUCAAUCCUUGAAUCUUUUUAUCAUCAAAAACUACAUGAAUUGAUUCCAUAACAAUGUUGGUUCUCAGAUUGUAUACUCUAAAUGAUUUUCCAUUAGAAUAUCCAACAAAAAUAGCUUCAUCUGCUUUGGCUUCAAAUUUUCAAAGAUUUUCACCUUGAUUUCUUAGAACAUAACACUUACAUCCAAAUACAUGAAGCAAGCUAAUUUUUGGCUUCUUUCCCUUGAAGAGUUGAAAAGGAGUUUGAUUGUGAGGUUUGGUAAUUAGAGAAAUGUUUUGAGUAAAACAAGCAGUGUUCACAGCUUCAACCCAAAAAUAGGUUGGAAGUUGAGCUUCAUUAAUCAUGGUUCUUGCAGCCUCAAUGAGAGUUCUAUUCUUCCUUUCUACCACACCAUUUUGUUGUGGAGUUCUUGGUGCAGAAAACUCAUGAAUAAUUCCCUUAUCUUCACAAAAUUCUUUCAUCACAGAAUUCUUGAAUUCUGUUCCAUUAUCACUUCUUAUUCUUUCAACUUUGACAUCUGGAUUGUUGUCUAAUGCCUUGAUAUGAUUGAUAAUGAUUUUCCCAGCUUCAUCCUUAGAAUGCAGGAAGAAAGUCUAAAUAAAUUUUGAAAAAUCAUCAGCAAUCACUAGACAAUAUUUCUUCUUUGAAAUGAACAUUAUAUUGACUGGUCCAAACAAAUCCAUAUGCAGGAGCUGAAGAGGUUUCAUAAUUGAUGAAAGAGAUUUGCUUUUGAAAGAGCUUCUCUUUUGCUUUCCUAGCUGACAGGCUCCACAAAGUCCAUCUUUUGAGAAUUCCAGCUUUGGUAGACCUCUUACCAAGUCCUUCUUUACUAACUCAUUCAAGGUUUUGAAAUUUAAAUGAGACAAUCUCUUGUGCCAUAGCCAACUGUCAUCUGAGCUUGCUUUGCUGAGAAGGCAAGUGAUAGAUUCAGACUUUACAGAAUUGAAGUCAGCUACAUACACAUUUCCUUUCCUUUGUCCAAUCAGAACCACAUUGUUGUCAUCUCCUUUGGUGACAACACAGGCUGCAGGAGUGAAAUUUACUUUGUAUCCUUUGUCACAAAGUUGACUGAUGCUAAGCAAGUUGUGCUUAAGACCAGACACCAAUGCAACUUCAUCUAUGAUGACAUUCUCUUUUGCAAUCAAGCCAUAUCCCAUAGUAUAUCCUUUGUUGUCAUCUCCAAAGGUAAUGCUAGGGCCAGCUUUCUCUACAAACUUUGUGAGUAGGGAAGAAUUACCAGUCAUGUGCCUGGAGUAUCCACUAUCUAAGUAUCACAAAUUCUUCUUAUGGUUUCCCUGCACACAUUUCAAAAACAGAUCAAGUUGAUUGUGGUACCCAAAUUGCUUUGGAUCCAGAUUUGUUAGUCUUAACAGCUUUUCCUUCAUUCUCAACUUUUCCCUUGGAUUGAGGUGGUUCGAUCUUGGGUUUUGGUUGAGAAAUUGGAAUUUCAACAUUGUUCUUAAACACAGGCAUUUGAGGCAUGCAUACAUUGUUUAUACCAUGCAAGUUUGAAUGGAAUUGAGGCAUGUUAGAAGCAUUGAAAUAUGGAUUGAACAUAUAUGGCAUGCUAGGCUGAGAAUAUGAAUUGUGAGGCAAUAAACCAGGCAUCAUGUUCAUAGCAGAUAAGUUCAUGUGAGGAACAGAUGGCAUGGGAAUAGGCAAUGAUAAAUUGGGAGCAAUCACAGUUUUGCAAUUAGUAGAUAAGUGAUUUACACUACCACAUUUACUGCAAGUUUUCCUAGGAGCACUGGCAUUGGGUGUGUAAUUAGUGUGCUUAUUGACUCCAAUUUUACCAUUUCUAUUCCCUUUCUUCUUCUUAGUCUCUUCUGAUUUAAGCUCACUAGCAUCCAAUUUCUUCUUGGUCUUAUUACUGGAAUUAUGAGUGUUAUUGACACUUUCACUAGUCUCAGAAGAAUUAUUCUCACCUUUAACAAAGUUCUUCUUAACAGGACCAUAUUUCUUGUUGAGUUUCUUGAGAACUUUCUUGUCAACUGAUGAGUUUUUGUUCAACUGAUGAUUCUCUUCAGUUGAAGCUUUACUUUUCAACUGAUGAUCAUCAUCAGUAUUCUCAUCACUUGAACUGAUCUCAGAGAUCUAAAGAGCUUUCUUAUUCCUUUUCCAUUCAUUCUCCACAAAGGUUUCUCUACCUUGCAUGUUGAUGAUAUUAGUGGAAACAUCUCUCCCAUAUUUCCAUUUAGCUAUAAUUUCUUGUUCCUUAUCAAGCUGUUUUCUUAUGAUCUCUUCUCUUUUUAAUACAGCCAAAAGAUCAUCCUUGGCUGUUUGACAUUCAAUCUUCAGUCUCUCAAACUCAAUGAAUUGAGUUUCUAGAGCACUGUUUCUAUCACUAAGAAAGGUGUUAGCUUCCUUAAUUCUACAAUUUUCCUUAGUAAGAGAUUUCAAAGAGACAUGCAAAUGAUAUAACUCAGUAGACAUUUCAUUGAUAGUAGCAUUGCAUUCAUCUUUAGUUAACUCUACUAAGUUUGUAGUGAAUACCUGACUGCUGCUUCCAGUGUUUUCUUCUUGAUCUGUGGAGUUGGCCAUUAGAGCAAGAUUGACAAACUCCUCCUCAUCUUCAGAAUCAUCUCCAGCUGCCCAAUCAUCCUUUGUAAUGAAUGCUCUUUCUUUUUGCUUGAGAAGUUCAUAAUAUUUCUUUUUGUAAUCCAUAUGAUCACUGGAUCUCUUCUCAGCUUUUGGCUUUCUGCAUUCAUUAGCAAAGUGACCUGCAUUUCCACAGUUGAAGCACUUGAAUUUGGAUCUGUCCACCAUGCUUCUAUCAGGCUUGGAGUUGCCUUUAAAUGAUUUUGCAGGGUUGAAAUUCUUCUUGAAUUUCAGUUUGGAGAAUCUUCUUGAUAGGAAGGCUAAGUGCUCAUCAAUCCCAUCACUUUCUUCAUCAGAAUCAGCUACAUCUUUUCCUUUUCUUUUACUUGAUUCUGAGCUCUCUUCUUUGACCAACUUCUCAGUUUCUUCAACCUGAGAUUUUCCCUUGUCCUUGACAGUUUCAUCAAGAGAUGCAACUAAAGCCACAGAUGAAUACCUUUUCUUUUGGAUUUUCUCUAUUUCUUCAUCUUGUUCCAUUUCAAGCUCAUAGGUCUUCAGAGUUCCAUACAGUCUCUCUAGAGUGUAGUCUUUAAAUUCUUGAGUGUUUCUGAGAGAGACUGUCAUGGGUUUCCAUUCUUUGGGAAGAGCUCUCAAGAACUUCAAGUUUGAAUCUUUAACCUGAUAUACUCUUCCAAAAAGUUUCAGGCCAUUUAACAGUUUUUGAAAUCUGUUAAAUGUGUCACUCAAACUUUCACCAGCCUUGAAAUGGAAUGACUCAUAUUGUUGAAUCAGCAACUGCAUUUUGUUUUCUCUUACUUACUCAUUCCCUUCACAGAUGAUCCUGAUGGUGUCCCAAACUUCUUUAGCACUUGUGCCGCUAAUAAUACUAUCAAUCAUUUCUUGAUCCAAACCAUUAAACAGAAGGUUCAUGGUUUUCUUGUCCUUGUGCACUUCUUCAGUAUCUUCUUGAGAAUACUCACGGAUAGGUUUUGGAACCAUUUUUCCUACCAUAUCUUCACCAUCAGCUCCCAUACUGGUGCAGACCUUCAUUGGGACAUGAGGUCCUUUCUCAAUGCAGUUCACAUAACUUUCAUCAAUAGACAACAAAUGCAGAUGCAUUCUUACUUUCCAGUGAAAGUAGUUGUCUUUGUCAAGAACAGGAAUCUUCACUCCAGCAUCCUUCUUUCCCAUCUUUCUUUAGCAGUGUUGAUCUUUUUCCCUGUUUGUUGGGAACCUCGCUCUGAUACCAAUUUUUAUUUUACACCAACUAUAAGAAAGAUUGUAGAAGGGGGGGUUGAAUACAAUCUUUUACAAAAAUAAAACAUUCAAGAACAAACACUUUAAAACAACAAACAGAAAAACACCAAGUAUUAAAAAUACGGGUGGAUUGAAUGAUCCACCCGUGAGAUUUUAUAUAGAAGAAUCUGUGGAUUGUUUACAAUUCGCACAGCUGCUGGUUCAUCACUCAAAAAAGUUCUAACUCUCAGAUUUUUCUCUCAAGUAAUUUGAACAAGUUCAACUGAUGCUACUAACUUGGUUAUAUACUCCAAGUUUUACAAAGCUUUUAGCUAGAUUACAAAAUGCACUCUAAUCUAAAAACAAUGCUGCACAACUUUGUCUUAUGCAUGCUUUCUGAGAUGUCUUCAUCUUUGACCAUCAUCUUGAUUUGAUCCAGAUUGCACUGCAUGAGAUAAGUAUGUUUCUGCUUCUUCUUUAUUUUCCUAAUUAGGCUUCCAUGUCUAUUUUAGUGUAAUUCGAUCCAUGUGAUUUGUCAGACUUAAGCUCUAGUCACUUUCAACUGCUCUUUGCUUCAUCGGUUGAAAGUUCUGGUUACUUUCAACUGCUCUUUACUUCAUCAGUUGAGAGUUCUUUCAUCAGUUGAACGAAUUACAGACUUCAUCAGUUGAAUGUUGUUUCAGUCUCAUCAGUUGAAUUCCUUAGCAUCAUCAGUUGAAUACUUUGUCUUCAGUUGAAUGCUUGGUUUUCAUCAGUUGAAACAUGACCCAGUCUUCAUCAGUUUAAUAGUUACAUCUCAUCAGUUGAAUAUCCUUCACUUAGAUAAAAUUACAUGGCAUUGGAUAUUUACAAUUAGCCAUCCUAUUCUACCCAUCCGUUGAUAAUUCCCAAAGACAAGAAGUAUAACAAUUACAACUGAAAUUUGAUAAAGAUUCUAAAAAAGACAUGUUACAAUAUGUUUAUGUUAUCAUCAAAAAUUAUUGAUUCCUAACAAAAUCCCAAUUGAAUACCUUCGAAAUUUGAAGUAUAAUUUAAAAUCAUGAUCAAAUACCACCAGUUUUUCUAAAUAAUUUAAAAUCUUAAGUGAAUUUCAAAGAUUGUGACAAUUUUUGAAAAUCAGAUUUGAAUCCCCUCAAAUUUAAUGAAUGAAAGAUAUCUUUUAAAAUCUCAAUUGAAUAUACCCCUAAUAAAUGUGGUAGAUGAAAAAAAUCUUUAAAAAUCUCAAUUAAUUAUACCCCUAAUAAAUUUGGUGCAUAAAAAAAUCCCUUUAAAUACACCAUAUGAAUUGACACCAACCCAUGAACAUGUCAAUUUCCUGAAUCCCCAUGAAAGCUCAACCCUAGUUAUGAUCCACACAUGUAUUUAUCGAUUUCCCAUAUCCAUUUUGUCGCCGCCUUGUCAAAUUUUCGUUAGUGCAACAUUUUGUCGAACACUCGGUGGAGAUGAAUGGUUCUCCACCUAUUCCAUGUGUAGUUGUUUCACUUUAACAAACUUAUUAAAUAAUGAAGAAAAUUUCGGCAAAUACGAUAAAAAUAAUGAAGAAAAUGCUCCAUUAAAUAUCAAACACAAAAAUAGCUUCCUCCUUCUGUGGGGUUGUGAGAAUAUUUAAGAUGGCAGAUGCAUUUCGAGCUACACACAAUAUGCUUGCAUCAAAUUAUUAUAACCAGGCUACCCUUUCCCCUACACUAAUUAGACAAGAUCGAUUGUCACCAGCGAGACGAUCUAUAUUCCGAAACAUGCCAGGAAACAACCGGAGUCGCCCACAGGUGAACCAAGCUUCAUCAUCACAGUCACAAUCACACCAAACUCGGAAUUUCAGGAAUAAUAGAAGUUCCAACAAUGAAAAUAUGAACAGACCGGUGGAGACUCCUCAUAGUCAAACAAGGCAGAUUUGGAAGGCAAAACCAUCUUAAUCGAACAAAAAAUUUGUAACAGGUUACAGCACUGAUCGUAUUUGAUAUCGUAUUGUGUGCGGUGGUUGUUUGUAUUGUUUUGGUAAUUUAACACCACUGACGAAAUUGGUAAAAAUACAAAAACUAAUAGUAAGGGCGAUUGUUUUUACGCACAAAAUUAGAUUUCUAUGAUAAUUGAAUCACUAAAAGAAUUAUAAAUUUAAAUCUUCUAACUAAAUUUUAGUUAAGUUUAAUAUAACUAUAAACUAAUCUAAUUUAAAAUAAUAAAUAUUCAUGAGUCAUGUACAAAUAUAAAAAAUGCGACGAAGAUUGAUGAUUAUUAAAUAAUUUUGAUAUCGAAAAUAUAUAAUUAAUGGUGAUAAAAAUAAAUUAGUUAAUUAUUUAUUUGAGGAAUCCUGAGACCCGAAGAUGAGUUCUAAUUAGAUGAGUUAUAACUGGAUUAUGAAGGAAGUUUGAUUACAUUAUAUUAUAAACCAAAAAGUUAUAAGUUAAAUUAUGAUUAACUUGUAUGUGGUUAAAAUCUUGGAUAAAAUUCAAUAUAAAUUUUUAGGCCUUGCCUUUGAUUGAUCAAAAGAUAAUUCAACUUUACUUACAUUAAAUUAAAUUUAUUUCAAAAUUACUUAAAGUAAAUAGGAAAUUCUAUUAUUAUCUAAUCAUAUUAUCAUAUCAUAUUCUAACUGGAUAGUGAAAAUGAGCCUAGUUGGAUGAGUUAUAAUUAAUGAAAAUGAAGUGAUUAAUUAUAUUUUAUAAUAAAAAAAUUGUAAUGAUUUACUCAUGGUUUAUAUCUUGGUUAAAUUUAAUAAAAGCAAAGUUGUAGAAUGAACAUUAUUGGUCUAAAAUUUUGGGGUGAACUCUGAUUAGUCCUAAAAUAAUUCUUAUUUACUGAUUGGUUAACUGCAUAUUGUGGUACAAGGAAUGUUGAAAAAUUGAAUGUCACUGAUUGAAAAUUUAGUAAUGGCUUCUGAUUAAUUCUAAAAUAAUUCUUCUUUUAUAAGAGUGACUAAGAUAAAAAUUGGCAAAAGAUUGCCAAUGUCCAUGUGACAUGACAUUUUUAGUUGCCAAUCUAUUAGAGCUCCAUGAUUGCCAAUGAGUUGCUACUCAAAGUUGGCAACUACCUCGUUUAGCGAAAAACAAACUACAGUAUUAUCCAAAAACUAUAUUUAACCUUAACCAUUUAUGUAUUUGAAAUAGGUAUACACUAUUUAUUUAGGGGACCACAUUGAGAAUUCUUAUAGUUGCCAACUUUUGGAUUGUAUUUUACAAAGAGGUUGCAAAUGUGAUAUGAAAGAGAGAUAAAAUAAAAAAUUAAUAUAUAUACCGAGCUGGCAAGACUUAGCAACUAUUUUAGCAACCCUGGUUGGAGAUGGUUAACUGCUAGUUAUGACGGGAAAUCACUGCAUAUAUAGUGUAGUUGAGUCGGGUAUAUAAUAAAUGUUUAUCCAAUUAGAAAAGUGGAAUUAUUUUGGGAUUAAUCAAAAAUCACCCCUAUAUUUUAGACCAAUAAUGUUCAUUUGGAAUUUUAAUAUAUUUUAUACUCCCUCCGUCUCACAAUAAAAGUCUCUUUUGUAACAAAUUUUUGUACCUUAAACUUGUCAACUUUUAGUCUCCAAUGCAAAUAUAUUGAAAAUAUUCCAAAAUUACCCAUCUUGAAAAUGUAUGACAAUUAAUGAGAGUUAAAUAAGAGUCUACAUUCAUUCAUUUAUUAAUUAGGGGCACAAGUAAGAAAAUAUUAUCUAAUUUAUGCGUUCUUAAAAUGCCCAACUUUUACAAAAGAGACUUGUAUUGUGGGACGGAGGGAGUAUAGUUUAUGAAUAUUAAUUGAUUGUAUCUGAUUUUGAUUUUAUCCGGAUUCUUUAUAAAAUAUCGCAAAGCUGACUAGAGUCUUCAGGAUUUAGGAUUUAAGCACAAUGUUUCGAAAUCUCAUGGAUAUAGGUGGAAUAUCAAAUAUUUUAAAAUACACACAAUCUCAAAAAAAAAAUCAUCAUUUCAUGAAGUCCAAAAAAAUUCAUCACCAUUUGAAUACAAUCAAUUUUUAAUAUAUUAAAAAAAAUCCCAAUUGAAUACCUUCGAAAUUUGAAGUAUAAUUUAAAAUCAUGAUCAAAUACCACCAGUUUUUCUAAAUAAUUUAAAAUCUUAAGUGAAUUUCCAAGAUUAUGAUAAUUUUUGAAAAUCAGAUUUCAAUCCCCUCAAAUUUAAUGAAUGAAAGAUAUCUUUUAAAAUCUCAAUUAAAUAUACCCCUAAUAAAUGUGGUAGAUGAAAAAAAUCUUUAAAAAUCUCAAUUAAUUACACCCCUAAUAAAUGUGGUGCAUAAAAAAAAUCCCUUUAAAUACCCCAUAUGAAUUGACACCAACCCAUGAACAUGUCAAUUUCCUGAAUCCCCAUGAAAGCUCAACCCUAGUUAUGAUUCACACAUGUAUUUAUCGAUUUCCCAUAUCCAUUUUGUCGCCGCCUUGUCCAAUUUUCGUUAGUGCAAUAUUUUGUCGAACACUCGGUGGAGAUGAAUGGUUCUCCACCUAUUCCAUGUGUAGUUGUUUCACUUUAACAAACUUAUUAAAUAAUGAAGAAAAUUUCGGCAAAUAAGAUAAAAAUAAUGAAGAAAAUGCUCCAUUAAAUAUUAAACACAAAAAUAGCUUCCUCCUUCUGUGGGGUUGUGAGAAUAUUUAGAGCUCAAGUCCCAAGAAAUUUGAAAGAGAAGUGGGAUCUACGAAGCAAUCAAGGCCUCAACAUAUAGUGUUCCAAGGGACAAGAUGUUGAUCUUGGGUCUUGCUGAGUUUUGGUGUUGUGAUACAAACACAUUUGUUUUUCCAUGGGGUGGGGUAACUAUCACUCUUGAAGAUAUUAUGCAUUUAGGGUCUUUGUCUGUUUAAGGUUGCUCUAUUUCAACUCCCAGUAAUGAUGAAUGUGUUCAUGUUUAUAAAUGUUUGAGAAGUGAAAUUAAGCAAGUUAAAUUUGCUAGUGGUGGAUCUAUGAAUCCUUCUAUGUGGAUGGAGUAUUUUAUGAAUAGUGUUAAGGAUGUAAAUAUGCAAUGUUGUUAUUCAUUUGUCUGGAGGUAAUAGGGUUGCCCUUGCGCCCGUUGUUCUUGUAUGUAUUUAUGGAAAUAUAACACGUGUCAUCCACGAGUGAUUUAUAAUAUUUGUAAUUUUAUCAUUUAUUUCUUAAAUUUAAUUGAAAUACAAAUAAAUUAUACUAACCGAAUCUUCAAAAAAGAUACUCCCUCCGUCCCUCCCAUUUCUUUCCACUUUCCUUUUUGGGACGUCCCAUCCAAUUCUUUACAUUUCAAAACUUACCAAAAAUAGUCAAUGGGUCCCACCACUUCUCCACUUUUCUUUCCUUUUCACACUACUUUUACUCCACUAUCUUCUUUUUAUACAUUAAAAAUCAAUGGGUCCCACCACUUUACCCACUUUUCAUCCUCUUUUCAACUAAUUUAUACAUAUUUCUUAACCUUCGUGCCCAACCCAUUCGAUAAGAAAUGGGAGGGACGGAGGGAGUAUUUAAUUAUAUAAAGGAUAUUUAAUUAUAUAAAAGAUGAUAGGUUUAUUUAAAAAGAAAAAUUGAUUAUAUAAGAAGGUCCAUAAUUCGGCUGAAGUACUGACCGACCAAAAUUUUAAUAUUUCAACCUUAAUAAUAUAAUAUAGAAGUAUAGAUGAGAGUGUUAGGACGGACCCAAUUUUGUAAAAUUGCCAGGGCUGAACCAAAUUUUUUUCGCCAACAUUUUAAAAUUUAAUAAGUCGCCCAACGAAAUGAUGUCUUGACAUCCCAAUGUUUUCUUUUGUUAGUUUUCAUGUACAAUUGUAAAUGAGUGCUAAGAUCUGUAACCCCCAUGCAAGGAUGCAAGUCGAACAAUAUCCACAAAUGAUGUCAAAUUUAAGAUACUUGCAGUAAUAUUAUUUUAAUGAUGUCUUACAACACUUAACAUCUUGUACAUGUGCCUUAUUUUCAAGACAUUGCAUUAAAAAUUAGUUUCAUUAGUAAAAUAGCAUGAGAUUUCAUUAGAUAAUAUAAUACAACAAAGACGAAGAACAUAAUUAAUAAAAUUACAUUAUAUUAUAACUAGUAAAAAGAAUAUUGUGCGAUCACAUAGUUGAUAAAUAAUAGAGUAAUUUAAAAAAAAAUUCUAAUAUUAAAUUUCGAUAUUGUAAAAUGAUACUAUAUUUCCAACUAUAUAUACAAUAUUAUACAUGUUAGAAAUAUAAAAUUUUAAUACUAAAUUUAUAUCUGAUUUUUUAAAUUUAAAACCUCUAUUUAUAUCUGAUUUUUUUGUUAAAGUUUAGACUUAUAAUUUUUUCUUUUUAUGCGUCUAAUUCCCCAAUAAGAGAGAGUUUUGAUUUUUUUUCAUUUAAACCAUAUGCAAAUCUAGCAAACCCAAUCAUGUACAUAAGUCACAGGGCUCAGUUAUUUUAUCUUAGGGCUGAUAGAAUAAGAAGAGUUCGAAUUUUGACCCGGACCGGAGCCAAAGUUGAAAGUUUCACGGUUUGUGAAGCUUCUUGAAGCUGGUAAUCAAUUAUACAAUUCUAUCUUCGCAUCAUUCGAUUCUUGUUUUUAAAUAGGGUUAAAUAGCUAAUUCACCACUAACCUGACUGGAAACUUGCAACUGAGCAAUGUUGUUGAAAAAACUUUCAAACGCAUCACCAAAUAAUUAAAAACUUUCAAAAUCAUCAUUCUCCGUCAGUUCCGUUAAGUAGUUAACGGAAAGUUCAAAAAAGAAAUAAAAAAAAAUUGGAAAAAUUGGAAAAAAAUAAUGAAAAAUUCUGAAAAAUUCAACAAAACCUGACUAUUAUUUUUUUGAAAAAUGUGAAUAAAAUAAAAGAAAAUCAAAAAAUUAAAAAAAUGGAAAACAAAACGUUUCAAACCUUUUUUUAUUCUUUUCAAUUUUUCUAAAACACGAAAAAAAACUUGCCACCUAAUUUUUUUCAAAAUUUUUCAAAUUCUUUUAAGAUUUUUGAAUUUUUUUCAGAAUAUUUUUGAACUUUAGAAUUUUUUUUCAGAAAUUUUUGAAUUUAUUAUGAAUUUUUUGUUUUAUCUCCAAAUUUUUCUGAAUUUUUUAAGUGUUUUUCAGAUUUUUUUCAUUUUUAAAAAAAAAUAUUUUUGAACCGUUAAUUACUUAACGGAACUGACGGAGAAUGAUGCUUUUGAAAGUUUUUAAUUACUUGAUGAUGCGUUUGAAAGUUUUUUCAACAACAUGACUCAGUUGCAAGUUUUGAGCCAGGUUAGUGAUGAAUUAGCUAUUUAACCCUUUUUAAAUAUAAGCAAAGAAGGUUCUUUUUGACUUUAAGAUAUGUUUAGUCACCGCCUUAGUCGAAUUUUCGCUAGCGCCUCUUGAUCACUUGGCGGAGAUGAAUGGUUCUCCACUUGUUCGAUGUGUAGUUGUUCCACUUUAUCAAGCUUCUUAAAUAAUGAAGAAAAUGCUCCAGUAAAUAUCGAGAUUCGAGCCGUGAUGACUCCUUUUAAGGUAAUUUUUUUUUUCCUUUUUGUCAUUUAAUUGACGCCUCUUAAACAGUGCUAUGGUGCUUGCUAUAGAGACGAAUUAGUUGUUAAUUUUUUGCGAUUUAGGGCGGAGAGGAUUGAGAGUGCUUUUCAUUUAAGAUUGGGAUGAAGCAUCGUAUCGAUUGGAUGGUUAUUUUGUACUCUUGGCCACUUUAGAUUGAUUAAAUCGAGACAUCUAAAAGCUGAUAUUAUAUGAUGAUACUUGCAAUUUUAUAUGUGCACAUCCGAUACUUGUUUUUUGAUAUAAGCUCUUGAGCCUUUCCUUAUUUAUCAGUCCUUUGGUGCUGUGGUACAGAUACUUUUUUUUUCCAUGGGGUGAGGUAACUAUCAGUCUUGAAAAUAUUGUGCAUUUAGGGUGUCUGUCGUUUUUAGGUUGCUCUAGUUCAACCCCAUGUGAUGAUGAAUGUGUUGAUGUUUAUAAUUGUUUGAGAAGUGAAAUUAAGAGUGUUAAAUUUACUAAUGCUGGAUCUGUGACUCUUCAAUGUGGAUGGAGUAUAUUAUGAAUAGUGGUAAGGAUGUAGAGCAUGAAGCAUUUCUUGUAUUUUGGCUGUGUAAGUUUGUUUUUGUGCGCACUCAGAUACUUGUGCAGGAUUUGAAUGUUGCUUUUCAUUUGUCUUAAUAGGGUUGCCCUUGCUCCUGUUCUUGUUUGUAUUUAGGGUUUACUUUUUUGGGCGCUAAAACCGGCCCAAUAACAUUAAUUACAUUGCACUUUUCUUAGCUUCAAUAAAGCAAGCUUUUCUAAUUGCUUCGUGCCUGGCCGUGCUUUGCACUUCAUGGCCUCCAACGCGCGCUUGUUUGAAGUUGGGCCAAGUGUGUAGAUUUUCCAUGAUGAUUAAUUAUUUAUCUAUUUUAAGCGAUCCUUAAUUGGAGAAAAUGUAGUAUUUCUGUUUGUUACAAUUAUAAUGGUGUUAUGCCUUGAAAAACCACUAUUUAACUGUUGUACACAGGUGCAAUGGUGGAGUCAAACUAUUUGGCUCGUUUGUAGCUGAACUAUUCAAGAAAUGGUGAGAUUUGGAUAUAUCUAUAGAGAUACAUGUUUUCAUAUCUCAAGCACAGCAAGAAAGCCGAAGGAAAGUUUGCUUGCAGAUUUACUUGGAGCUCUUAGAAGGAAAGGUAAUCUUUUUUCAAGAUAUAGAACUCCAUGCAUAUUGUGAAAUUGUUGCUGCCCUUGUGAUAUCUCACAUUAUUUAGUAAAACAAUCAAUUUAUCAAAUUCCAAAUACUAGUUCUCCGCAUCAUCCUAUACUUUUUUCUUAAGUUGAGGAUCUUUUUGAGCAGCCUGUUAAACCUGCACGGGCUGUUGCCAACAACCAUCUGACAAGAAUGGCAGAUGCAUUUCGAGCUUAACACAAUAUGCUUCCAUCAAAUUAUCAUAAUCAGGCUACUGUCUCCCCACACUAAUUAGACAAGAUCGACUGCCAUCUGCAAAACGGUCACCGGACAGAAAGAAACAUGGAAAAAACCGGUGGCGUCCACAGGUAAACCGAUCAUCAUCAUCAUUAUUAUCAGUGUCAAACUCAGAAUUUAAGGAAUAAUAAGCAUUCAUUUUCUGUGUUGAUUGUUUGUAUAGUUUUGGUAAGCAUCCAAGACCACUGAUGAAGUCUGUAAAUUUUCUUUAUAUCUCAUUCCAUCAGAAAUUUGAUAAGCCAAAGAGUGAGUAGUUUGGGCGAAUAUGUGAACACGCAGUAGUUUUAGCAAUAUAUUUUUGGAUCAUAUGCUUUUGAUGAUUUUGAUUCGAAGCAUAAGUAAUUUCAGAACUUAGGAUUGUUUAAUCUUACUUUCCUUUGAAAUCACACUUAAUUAAUUUAAACUUCAUAUCUAAAUAUUGAAUGAUGGUAGAAUGAAUAUGUAAUCUAGAAAUUAAGAAAAUUAAAUUCUUGAAACAUUCUAUAUCAUUUGUGUAACACUAUGUUUCAUGAACAACAUAGAUUAAUUAGGUCAACUUUCAUGCUCUUCAUGAACCCUAAGCGAAAAUGUGUUCGUCUUUGAGAGAAAAAAUCUGACAAAUCAAUAUCAGUUCAGAAAUUAUUUACGCAAUUAUAAUUAGUAGUAUUUAUUGAAUCCGCGUGUUUAUGUUGUAAUUGCAUAAUAAUCAUUGACCGAACAUCAGCGGAUACAGAAAAUGAUACUUGCAUGAUACACUAAACCUGGAGAACAAAGGCAUUCUAUAUUACUCUACUGCCGUCAAAUGGAGAUAUAAAGAUUCUUCAUUAUUAUCAAAUUACCUUAAUGCUUAAACUAGAUAAUUCACUUAUAGCUAUCGAUCUUUAUAUAUAUAUUUCAAAAUUAAAUAACCAAUACUUAAUGGCAAUGCUUGCAUUUCUUCCUCUACAUCACCUUAUAUUUCUUUUUGAUAUAUGCUGAGAAUUUUCAUUUUGACUUCAGAUAUCUUCAGCCUUGUCAUUUCUAGUAUGCAAAUGAGUUCUCUGGUAAAACCUACGUUGCGGGAUACUCUUUCGCUCAUUGGACCUGAGAGGGAGGAUGAGCAAGUGAGGCAAUAUAUCAUUGAAGACUUGUGAGAUGUUUUUUGGACCGUGGAAAGUCUUAGAGGUAUUAAGACUUUAUAAGAGGCAGUGGCCUGUAUGUACCUAGUUGGAUAGUUUAUUUUGUACAUCCUUGAUUUCUGCAAGAAAUAGAACUUCUUAUUAAGACAAGAAAUGAAAUUUGUCAGGACUGAAGUUUUUUAUGGAAGUUUAUUAUUUUAAUUCUAUGUUGAUGCGCUUGACCUUUGUGAUGUCUUUUUUCUGACAUUACUAACUGGCAUAGGCCUAUGUUGCCUCAGAAACAUGGAUAAAGUAGUAUAGGAAUUGAAAUAUUCUCUGAUGAUUAAUAUUCCAUUAUUUUGUUUGUUGCUUAAUAAGAUGGUGUUCUAUCAUUUUCAAUUGAAAUGGUGUUAUGCCAACCAGAACUUAGAGCUAAACUGUUAUGCACAGGGGCCAUGGUGGAACCAUUUGGCUCUUAUGUAUCUAAGCAUUUGACCAGAACAUAUCUAUAGAGAUACAUAGAGGUCGCAUAUUUUAAAUAUUUGGAGAAACCAGAAGGAAAAUUUACCAGAAACUGUACUAGAAGCUCUCUGAAGUGAGGGUAACCUGCCUCCUUUUUAGUAAUCUGCUUGACAAUUGACAUAUAGGUGUGUUGACUAAAUCAUUGUGAGAUAAUUUUUUGAAGGUUGAUUUUGCAGGAAAAACUAGAGACCUCUUUCAGAAUUUAGCUGUUAAAAAUUCAGAUAACUUGACACUGAAUAGUACUUUAUUUUUUCCAUACAGGUUUGAGAACUGCAGCUGUUGAACAAAUUGCAAGAACAUUUGCUGCGGACAAAAACUGGUUUAAACGGUCUAGGCGGAGAAAUGAAAGUUCUCUGAUCUGCUCGUUUCAUUCUUUGCAAAGGUAUAUUUACACAUUUUCGGUUAAACUAUAUAUUCUGCUCUACAUUCAAUUUAUCUAAUAAAGUGGGAUGUUGGUAUGACUACUGGUGAACUUUUCUUUCCACAAUGAGAACUGGCAUUAGUAGCAAGAAUGCCGUGAUUAUAGCCUUAACACGUGGUCGCAGCAUUAGACCAACCCGAACCUAUUCAUGGCACAAUUUACAUUGGCAAAACCCGAAAAUGAUAUGAAACUGACUGUCGAACCUAACAUGAUCCUGAAAUGAGCAGUAAAAAGCACAAUAUCUUGCACUUUAUAAUGCAUGUGUGCGUGGUGUCUGCAGUGGAAGCAGCAGUAAUCAAUUUCACUGUAACGAAAAAACUUAUGUAUAUUUAUGAUCUUUUCAGUUCUCUGACAUUGAUAUGAGGGCCUCAGAACAAGGCAUCAAUCCUUACUCUGGACAGUACGAAGAUAUUGGGAGAAGCAUGGCAUGGCUGCCUCAGACAUUAGCACUCUAUGUAAUCCCACACACACAGAUUCCCUUGUGCUGGCGUGUUUCUCAUUGCUGGAGACUCUGUAGCUGCUUAAUCAAUGCAUGUUUAGCUCCUUUUUCACUUCUUACAAAUUUAUUCUUAGGUUAUGGAUCCUUUUGAGCAGCCUAAUAAUACUGCAAGGCCUAUUAGCAACAAAACCUUCAGACAGAAACACUGGGGGAAACUAUGACGGGAGUCAUCCACAGGUCAACAGAGAAGCAUCAGCACCAUCACAGUCGCAUCUAACUUAAGAUGUAAUGAAUGAUAAACGUUCUAACAAUGCGACUGUCAGCAGACCAGUGCAGCCAAUUCAAGCACAACAGAUCUGGAGGGCAAAACCCAAGAGCUAAAUUCCACGAGGAUGGACCUACAGCCUGCCUUCGUAUAUUAAUUAUUGAUAAAGAUAAUAUUGCUUAUUGUUAAUCAAGUCUUUAUAAAUGGUUUGUUGUAAAAAUAACAUUAUAACCAUUAAGUUUAAAGUCAAUGUAAAUGUUUUAAUAAAUUGUGUGUUGGCCUAGCUUUGUAGCCUGUGGUACAGGUAACAUUACUGUUGUGAGAGUUUCAUAUCAGGGGAAAUGAAUUUUAUUUUGCACUAAAAUUUCCCCUUUUAAAAACAACCACUCACGAUCACAAUCAUUUGGUUGGGUGGUUGGUUGGGUACGUGGUAUGAGAAAUUGGGUAUGGUUAGUUCAUACAUUUCAUUUUAGUGGAGAUACAUUUCAUUCCAUCACUGGAAUAGAUACGUGAUAGUCUAACUCUAUAUCCCUCUGGCCUGAUUUGUGAUUCCAAUUCUAUACCAGUCAGAGAACCAACCAAUUUUUAGAAAUCAUAUUUUCUGACACUAGCUUAUGAUUAUCCUUUUACUUAUUGUAGGAAUUGCAUGAGAUUGUACUAUUCAAUUUAAGUGCUGAGACAAUCGAAUAUCCUAACCCUAAAUUAUCAUUCAAAAAUCAUUUUGUCCCACUAUUUUGAAUAAUUCAAAUCGCACCUUAUUAGUUUAACCCGCGAGACAGUUUGCACCCCUUCCGUUAAAUAUACAUAAUUUUAUACUUUAAUGAAAUAUCAUUUUGAUAUUUUAAAAUAAUAAAACUAUAAUUAAAUAUCUCAAAAGUAUAAUACUCCCUCCGAUUCAAAAUAUAUGACGCUUUGACUUUUUGCACGUAUUUAAAAUCCUUUGACCAUGUACUUAUAUUUAUUAUUUUUAAAAUUUUAUUUUUUAAAAUAAAAGUAUAUAGUCAAAAUUUUAAAGUAUAAAUUCUUUUUAAAAGAAAUGAUGAAUCUAGAUGCUUGGUGAAAACACUUUGAAAUAUGUGUAAAAAGUCUGACAAAGAUGGCAGAUGCAUUUCGAGCUACACACAAUAUGCUUACAUCAAAUUAUUAUAACCAGGCUACCUUUUCCGCUACACUAAUUAGACAAGAUCGAUUGUCACCAGCGAGACGAUCUAUAUUCCGAAACAUGCCAGGAAACAACCGGAGUCACCCACAGGUGAACCAAGCUUCAUCAUCACAGUCACAAUCACACCAAACUCGGAAUUUCAGGAAUAAUAGAAGUUCCAACAAUGAAAAUAUGAACAGACCGGUGCAGACUCCUCAUAGUCAAACAAGGCAGAUUUGGAAGGCAAAACCAUCUUAAUCGAACUAAAAAUUUGUAACAGGUUACAUCACUGUUCGUAUUUGAUAUCGUAUUGUGUGUGGUGGUUGUUUGUAUUGUUUUGAUAAUUUAACACUACUGACGAAAUUGGUAAACAUACAAAAAAUAAUAGUAAUAGCGAUUGUUUUUACGCAUAAAAUUAGAUUUAUAUGAUAAUUGAAUCACUAAAAGAAUUAUAAAUUUAAAUCUUCUAAGUAAAUUUUAGUUAAGUUUAAUAUAAGUAUUAAUUAAUCUAAAUUAAAAUAAUAAAUAUUGUUGAGUCAUGUACAAAUCUAAAAAAUGCGACGAAGAUUGAUGAUUAUUAAAUAAUUUUGAUAUCGAAAAUAUAUAAUUAAUGGAAAUAAAAAUAAAUUAGUUAAUUAUUUAUUUGAGGAAUUGUGAGACCCGAAGAUGAGUUCUAAUUAGAUAAUGAAAAGGAGUCUAAUCAGAUGAGUUAUAAUUGGAUUAUGAAGAAAGUUUGAUUAAAUUAUAUUAUAAACUAAAAAGUUGGUUAAAUUAUGAUUAACUUGUAUGUGGUUAUAUUUUGGAUAAAAUUUAAUAUAAAUUUUUAGGUGUUGCUUCUGAUUGAUCAUAAGAUAAUUCAACUUUACUUACAUUAAAUUAAAUUUAUUUUAAAUUACUUAAAGUAAAUAUGAAAUUCUAUUAUUAUCUAAUCAAAUUAUCAUAUCAUUUUAUUAUAUAAUAUUCUAACUGGAUAGUGAAAAUGAGCCUAAUUAGAUGAGUUAUACUUAAUGAAAAUGAAGUGAUUAAUUAUAUUAUUAUAUUAUAUAAAAAAAUUGUAAUGAUUUACUCAUAGUUAAUAUCUUGGUUAAAAUUUAAUAAAAGCAAAGUUGUAGAAUGAACAUUAUUGGUCUAAAAUUUAGGGGUGAACUCUGAUUCGUACUAAAAUAAUUCUUAUUUACUCAUUGGUUAACUGCAUAAUAUUGUGGUACAAGGAAUGUUGAAAAAUUGAAUAUCACUGAUUUAAAAUUUAGUAAUAGCUUCUGAUUAAUUCUAAAAUAACUCCUUUUUUUUAGAGUAACUAAGAUAGGAAUUGGCAAAUGAUUGCCAAUGUCUAUGCGUCAUGACAUUUUUAGUUGCCAACUUAUUAGAGCUCCCUGAUUGCCAAUGAGUUGCUACUCAAAGUUGGCAACUACCUCGUUUAGCUAAAAACAAACUACAGUAUUAUCCAAAAACUAUAUUUUACCUUAACCAUUUAUGUAUUUGAAAUAGAUAUACAAUAUUUAUUUAGGGGAGCACAUUGACAAUUUUUAUAAUUGCCAAUUAUUGGAGUGUAUUUUACAAAGAGGUUGCAAAUGUGAUAUGAAGGAGAGAUAAAAUAAAAAAUUAAUAUAUAUACCGAGUUGGCAAGACUUAGCAACUAUUUUAGCAACCCUUGUUGGAGAUGGUUAACUGCCAGUUUUGACGGGAAAAAACGGCAUACUGUAGUAUAGUUGGGUGUUAUAAUAAAUGUUUAUCCAAUUAGAAAAGUGAAAUUAGUUUGGGAUUAAUCAAAGGUCACCCCUGUAUUUUAGACCAAUAAUGUUCAUUCUUCAAAUGAGAUUUUAAUAUAUUUUAUACUCCCUCCGUCCCACAAUACAAAUCUUUUUUGUAAAAAAUAUUUGUCCCAUAAACUUGUUAACUUUUAGUCUCCAAUGCAAAUAUAUUGACAAUAUUCCAAAACUACCCUUCUUGAAAAUGCAUGACAAUUAAUGAGGAUUGAAUAGGAGUCUACAUUCAUUCAUUAAUUAGAGGUACAAGUAAGAAAAUAUUAUCUAAUUAAUUAAUGAGUUCUUAAUAUGCGCAACUUUUACAAAAGAGACUUGUAUGUGGAACGGAGGGAGUAUAGUUUAUGAAUAUUAAUUAAUUGUAUCUGAUUUUGAUUUUAUUCGGAUUCUUUAUAAAAUAUCGCAAAGAUGACUAGAGUCUUUAGUAUUUAAGCACAAUGUUUCGAAAUCUCAUGGAUUUAGGUGGAAUAUCAAAUAUCUUAAAAUACACACAAUCUCAAAAAAAAAAAAAUCAUCAUUUUAUGAAGUCCAAAAAAAAAUCAUCACCAUUUGAAUACAAUCAAUUUUUAAUAUAUUUAAAAAAAUCUCAAUUGAAUACCUUCGAAAUUUGAAGUAUAAUUUAAAAAUCAUGAUUAAAUACCACUAGUUUUUCUAAAUAAUUUAAAAUCUUAAGUGAAUUUCCAAGAUUGUGAUAAUUUUUGAAAAUCAGAUUUGAAUCCCCUCAAAUUUAAUGAAUGAAAAAUAUCUUUUAAAAUCUCAAUUAAAUGUACCCCUAAUAAAUGUGGUAGAUGAAAAAAAUCUUUAAAAAUCUCAAUUAAUUAUACCCCUAAUAAAUGUGGUGCAUAAAAAAAUCCCUUUAAAUACCCUAUAUGAAUUGACACCAACCCAUGAACAUGUCAAUUUUCUGAAUUCCUAGGAAAGCUCAACCCUAGUUAUGAUCCACACAUCUAUUUAUCGAUUUCCCAUAUUCAUUUUGUCGCCGCCUUGUCAAAUUUUUUUUAGUGCAUUUUGUCGAACACUCGGUGGAGAUGAAUGGUUCUCCACAUGUUCCAUGUGUAGUCACUUUAACAAACUUAUUAAAUAAUGAAGAAAAUUUCAGCAAACAAAAUAAAAACAAUGAAGAAAAUGCUCAUUAAAAAUCAAACACAAAAAUAGCUUCCCCCCUUCUGUGGGGCUUGUUUUGCUCCCAAUCAACUCCAAUUUUUCAGGUUGUGAGAAUAUUUUGAGCUCAAGUCCCAAGAAAUUUGAAAGAGAAGUUGGAUAUAUGAAGCAAUCAAGGCCUCAACAUAUAGUGUUCCAAGGGACAAGAUGUUGAUCUUGGUGUUGUGAUACAAACAAACUUGUUUUUUCAUGGGAUGGGGGUAACUAUCACUCUUAAAGAUAUUACGCAUUUAAGGUCUUUGUCUGUUUUAGGUUGCUCAAUUUCAACUCUCUGUGUUGAUGAAUGUGUUCAUGUUUAUAAAUGUUUGAGAAAUGAAAUAAGCAAGUUAAAUUUGCUAGUGGUGGAUCUGUGAAUCCUUCUACAUGGAUGGAGUAUUUUAUGAAUAGUGUUAAGGAUGUAAAUAUGUAAUGUUGCCAUUCAUUUGUCUAGAGGUAAUAGGGUUGCCUUUGCGCCCGUUGUUUUUGCAUGUAUUUAUGGAAAUAUUGAUUUAUAACACGUGUCAUCCACGAGUGAUUUAUAAUAUUUGUAAUUUUAUCGUUUAUUUCUUAAAUCUAAUUUUUAAAAAGGAUAUUUAAUUAUAUAAAAAAAGAAAAAUUGAUUAUAUAAGAAGAUCCAUAAUUCGACCGAAGUACUGAACGACCAAAAUUUUAAUAUUUCAACUUUAUUAAUAUAAUAUAGAAGUAUAGAUGAGAGUGUUAGGACGGACCCAAUUUUGUAAAAUUGCAAGGGCUGAACCAAAUUUUUUUUACCAACGUUGUAAAAUUUAAUAAGUCGCCCAACGAAAUGAUGUCUUGACAUCCCAAUAUUUUCUUUUGUUGGUUUUCAUGUACCAUUGUAAAUGAGUGCUAAGAUCUGUAACCCGAUGCAAGUCGAACAAUAUCCUCAAAUGAUGUCAAAUUUAAGAUACCCAAAAAAAUUGAGUAUUGCAUUAAUAUUAUCUUAGUGAUGUCUUACAACACCUGAACAUCUUGUACAUGUGUCUUAUUUUCAAGACAUUGCAUUAAAAAUUAGUUUCAUUAGAAAAAUAGCAUGAGAUUUCAUUAGAUAAUAUAAUAAAACCAAGACGAAGAACAUAAUUAAUAAAAUUACAUUAUAUUAUAACUAGUAAAAAGAAUAUUGUGCGAUCACAUAGUUGAUAAAUAAUAGAGUACUUUUAAAAAAAAUUCUAAUAUUAAAUUUCGAUAUUGUAAAAUGAUACUUUAUUUCCAAUUAUAUAUACAAUAUUAUACAUGUUAGAAAUAUAAAAUUUUAAUACUAAAUUUAUAUCUGAAUUUUUAAAUUUAAAACCUCUAUUUAUAUCUGAUUUUUUGUUAAAGUUUAGACUUAUAAUUUUUCCUUUUUAUGCAUCUAAUUCGCCAAUAAGAGAGAGUUUUGACAUUUUUCAUUUAAACCAUAUGCAGAUCUAGCAAACCCAAUCAUGUAUCACAGGACUCAGUUAUUUUAUCUACAGGGCUGAUAGAAUAAGAAGAGUUAGGAUUUUGACCCGGAUCGGAGCCAACCUCAACCCAGCCCGAGUGUUGAAUUAGGGCUAUAACCUAGAUCAACACGGUGGCACGGAGUCACAAAGUUGAAAGUUUCACGGUUUGUGAAGCUUCUUGAAGCUUUUAGAUAUCUAAAAGCUGGAUCAAUUAUACAAUUCUAUCUUCGCAUCAUUCGAUUCUUGUUUUUAGAUAGGGUUAAUUAUCAACUAGGUCAUUUAUUACACUAGAAAAUAUCAAGUGGAUCACUCAGAAAUUUUUGGUCUCAUUUGAAUGACUAAAGUCAUAAAAAAUAUCAAAUAGAUACCUCUAAUAUCUUUUCGAGAAGUAAUCUUUAUUUUUCGUUGAGUUCCACACAUUUUUCUUGGCUGUUAGUAUAAUCAUAUGAAAAGAUAUGAAUUCUUGUAUGUAUCGUAAUAUAUUUAGAUUUUAAGAAAUUUAUUUAUUAUUUAUUUGAUAUAAAUCAAACAAAAUAAUUGUAAAAUUAAAAAUAAAUAGUAAAUAAAUUUCUUAAAAUCUGAAGAUAUUAACAUAAAUACUGGAAUUCAUAACCUUUCAUUUGAUUAUAAUAACAACCAAGAAAAAUGUAUGGAACUCAAUGAAAAAUAAAGUUUAUUUCUCGAAAAGAUAUUAGAGGUAUCUAUUUGAUAUUUUUUAUGACUUUGGUGAUCCAAAUGAGAUCAAAAAUUUCCGAGUGAUCCACUUGAUAUUUUCUGGUGUAUAAAGUGACCUGGUUGAUAAUUAACCCUUUUUAGAUUUAAGCAAAGAAUGUUCUUUUGACUUUAAGACAUGUUUAAGAUAUGUUUAGUCACCGCCUUAGUCGAAUUUUCGCUAGCGCCUCUUGUCGAUCAUUUGGCGGAGAUGAAUGGUUCUCCACCUGUUCGAUGUGUAGUUGUUCCACUUUAUCAAGCUUCUUAAAUAAUGAAGAAAAUGCUCCAGUAAAUAUCGAGAUUCGAGCCGUAAUGACUCCUUUUAAGGUAAUACUUUUUUUUUCCUUUUUGUCAUUUAAUCGACGCCUUUUAAACAGUGCUAUGGUGCUUGCUAUUGAGACGAAUUAGUUGUUAUUUUUUUGCGAUUUAGGGCGGAGAGGAUUGAGAGUGCUUUUCAUUUAAGAUUGGGAUGAAGCAUCGUAUCGAUUGGGUGGUUAUUUUGUACUCUUGGCCACUUUAGAUUGAUUAAAUCGAGACAUCUAAAAGCUGAUAUUAUAUGAUGAUACUUGCAAUUUUAUAUGUGCACAUCCGAUACUUGUUUUUUGAUAUAAGCAAAGGAUGUUGUUUUUGACUUUAAGAUAUCUUUAGUCUUGUCUGGUGGUAUUUAAACCGUUUUGGUAUUUGCAGAUGAGUUCCUACGGUCAGGUGGACCAUGCUCCUCAGAGUAUUCUCCCUGGUUGUUCAGAGGGUGGAAGAAAUCUCAGAGGUAUAAGAGGUUUAUAGCAAGUAGUAGCUCCCUCGCAUAAUAUUUACUUCCUCUAUUCCUUUAGGAAACAAAAUUAAUAUUCAUAUUAACACAUGAAAUGAGAUUGUCAGGAUUGAAGUUUAUUGUAGCAGUUUCUUUAUUUUAUUCUAUCAUGUGUUAUAGAAAGCCUUAUGGGCACCGAAUUUAAGCUCUUGAGCCUUUCCUUAUUUAUCAAUCCUUUGGUGUUGUGGUACAAAUACUUUUUUUUUCCAUGGGGUGAGGUAACUAUCAGUCUUGAAAAUAUUGUGCAUUUAGGGUGUCUGUCGUUUUUAGGUUGCUCUAGUUCAACCCCAUGUGAUGAUGAAUGUGUUGAUGUUUAUAAUUGUUUGAGAAGUGAAAUUAAGAGUGUUAAAUUUACUAAUGCUGGAUCUGUGACUCUUCAAUGUGGAUGGAGUAUUUUAUGAAUAGUGGUAAGGAUGUAGAGCAUGAAGCAUUUCUUGUAUUUUGGCUGUGUAAGUUUGUUUUUGUGCGCACUCAGAUACUUGUGCAGGAUUUGAAUGUUGCUUUUCAUUUGUCUUAAUAGGGUUGCCCUUGCUCCUGUUCUUGUUUGUAUUUAUAGAGAUAUGAGGGUGUUACAUAAUGCAAUGGUUAAGCCUGUCGAAUUAGGGUCUGGAAUUGGUCUGAAGUUCACUAUAUGGCACUACGACUUAGUGCAGAUGUGGGUUUGGGAGAGGUUUGUGGAAUUGAGGCCAAAGCCAAAUGUCAUAGAACGGGGAGACCCUAGAUCAGCACGGUGGAAUGGAGUCACAAAGUUGUAAGUUUCACGAUUUGUGAAGCUUUUUGAAGCUUUUAGACAUCUAAAGCGGUAAUCAAUAAUAUGCAAUUCUAUCUUCGCAUCAUUCAAUUCUUGGUUUUAGAUAUAAGCAAAGAAUGUUCUUUUUGAGUUUAUGAUAUCUUUAGUCUUAUUUAGACCGUUUUGGUAUUUGCAGAUGAGUUCCUACAGGCUACAGUCAAGUGGAUCAUGCUCCUCAGAGUAUUCUUCUUGGCUGUUGAGAUGGUGGAAAAUCUCAAAGGUAUAAGAGGUUUAUAGCUGGUAGUAGCUCGCUCGCAUAUAUUUACAUCCUCUCUAUUCCUUUAGGAAACAAAAUUAAAUAUUAAUAUUCAUAUUAAGACAUGAAAUGAGAUUGUCAGGCCUGAAGUUUAUUCUGGCAAUGACAUUGGGUCAAUUAGGGUUCUCCCUUUUUGAUGUCGUUGGAAGCUGAUUUCCUCUUUUUAUUUGGGGUUAUAAAUUGUAUUUUUGUUUUAGGGUUUACUUUUUUGGGCGCUAAAACCGGCCCAAUAACAUUAUUUACGUUGCACUUUUCUUAGCUUCAAUAAAGCAAGCUUUUCUAAUUGCUUCGUGCCUGGCCGUGCUUUGCACUUCAUGGCCUCCAACGCGCGCUUGUUUGAAGUUGGGUCAAGUGUGUAGAUGUUCCAUGAUGAUUAAUUAUUUAUCUAUUUUAAGCGUUCCUUAAUUGGAGAAAAUGUAGUAAUUCUGUUUGUUACAAUUAUAAUGGUGUUAUGCCUUGAAAAACCACUAUUUAACUGUUGUACACAGGUGCAAUGGUGGAGUCAAACUAUUUGGCUCGUUUGUAGCUGAACUAUUCACGAAAUGGUGAGAUUUGGAUAUAUCCAUAGAGAUACAUGUUUUCAUAUCUCAAGCACAGCAAGAAAGCAGAAGGAAAGUUUGCUUGCAGAUUUACUAGUAGCUCUUAGAAAGAAAGGUAAUCUUUUUUCAAGAUAUGGAACUCCAUGCAUAUUGUGAAAUUGUUGCUGUCCUUGUGAUAUCUCACAUUAUGUAGUAAAACAAUCAAUUUAUCAAAUUCCAAAUACUCGUUCUCCGCAUCAUCCUAUACUUUUUUCUUAAGUUGAGGAUCUUUUUGAGAAGCCUGUUAAACCUGCAAGGGCUGUUGCCAACAACCAUCUGACAAGAAUGGUUGAUGCAUUUCGAGCUUAACAUAAUAUGCUUCCAUCAAAUUAUCAUAAUCAGGCUACUGUCUCCCCACACUAAUUAGACAAGAUCGACUGUCAUCUGCAAAACGGUCACCGGACAGAAAGGAACAUGGAAAAAACCGGUGGCGUCCACAGGUACACCGAUCAUCAUCAUCAUUAUUAUCAGUGUCAAACUCAGAAUUUAAAGAAUAAUAAGCAUUCAUUUUCUGUGUUGAUUGAUUGUAUAGUUUUGGUAAGCAUCCAAGACCACUGAUGAAGUCUGUAAAAUUAUUUUCUUUAUAUCUCAUUCCAUCAGAAAUUUGAUAAGCCAAAGAGUGAGUAGUUUGGGCGAAUAUGUGAACACUUAGUAGUUUUAGCAAUAUAUUUUUGGAUCAUAUGCUUUUGAUAAUUUUCAUUCGAAGCAUAAGCAAUUUCAGAACUUAGGAUUGUUUAAUCUUACUUUCCUUUGAAAUCACACUUAAUUAAUUUAAACUUCAUAUCUAAAUAUUGAACGAUGGUAGAAUGAAUAUGUAAUCUAGAAAUUAAUAAAAUUAAAUUCUUGAAACAUUCUAUAUCAUUUGUGUAACACUAUGUUUCAUGAACAACAUAGAUUAGGUCAACUUUCCUGCUCUUCAUGAACCCUAAGAGAAAAUGUGUUCGUCUUUGAGAGAAAAAAUCUGACAAAUCAAUAUCAGGUCAGAAAUUAUUUACGCAAUUAUAAUUAGUAGUAUUUAUUGAAUCCGCGUGUUUAUGUUGUAAUUGCAUAAAAAUCAUUGACCGAACGUCAGUGGUUACAGAAAAUUAUACUUGCAUGAUACACUAAACCUGGAGAACCACUGGUUAAACAGGAUUAAUAUUGUUGACAAUGUGUAGCUGUGACAGUUUAACAAAUAGGAAAGCUUGUGAACACUUUAAAACAAGAGAAUCAUGGACAAAAGACUUCUUUAGAUUUACUAAUUAUCAGAAGACUUGUGGAAUGUAUGUUAGUUUUAUACUCCAAAUUUGGUGGAAGUUCAGAAAAAAGACAUUUGAUCGAGACGAUAUUGUGAAUGUGGCAAUCCCGAUAGACUGAUCAAUUCAUGGAAUACUACUUGUAGUUAAAUAAUGAAGAAAAUGCUCCGUCAAAGAUGAGGCGUAAUGACUCUUUUUAAGGUAAUAUACUUUUCUUCUUAUUUAGUUGAUGUCUCUUAAACAUUUUUGCCGAAAACUGUGUGACUAAAUGUGAAAGAAUUAUCGAGACGAAGAAUUAGUUAAUAAUACAAAUCUAAAUUAUUUGUGUAGAGGAUCUCGAUUAAUUACUUACCCCAAUUGGCAGCACAAGGAAUACUAGUACAACAACGUUGGAGUUUGACCAACUCCAGAGUUUUGACUACGAUGAUACCAUCAGUCUCCUAUGCCCCGUCUCUUCAGUUGGUUCUCUUGAAUUAGGGGUGGCCUGGUAAUUUUGGUAAGUCCUUUUUUUUAAAUCCCAACUGUAUACAUUUUUUUCUUCCCGCAUGUCGCAGCGCACGCAUCCCCCAAAUUAAAGAAUUGUUUAACAAAGAUCAGUCUUGGAUCUGCUAGAUUAUCAUGUGUGUAUUUCCAUAUGAUUAUAUCAUCAACUGGCCAACUUGGAUUGGUUCAAUUUAUACAAAGGCAUUCUAUAUUACUCUACUGCCGUCAAAUGGAGAUAUAAAGAUUCUUCAUUAUUAUCAAAUUACCUUAAUGCUUAAACUAGAUAAUUUAAUUAUAGCUAUCGAUCUUUAUAUAUAUAUUUCAAAAUUAAAUAACCAAUAGUUAAUGGCAAUUCUUGCAUUUCUUCCUCUACAUCACCUUAUAUUUCUUUUUGAUAUAUGCUGAGAAUUUUCAUUUUGACUUCAGAUAUCUUCAGCCGUGUCAUUUCUAGUAUGCAAAUGAGUUCUCUGGUAAAACCUACGUUGCGGGAUACUCUUUCGCUCCUUGGACCUGAGAGGGAGGAUGAGCAAGUGAGGCAACAUAUCAUUGAAGACUUGUGAGAUGUUUUUUGGACCGUGGAAAGUCUUAGAGGUAUUAAGACUUUAUAAGAAGCAGUGGCCUGUAUGUCCCUAGUUGGAUAGUUUAUUUUGUACAUCCUUGAUUUCUGCAAGAAAUAGAACUUCUUAUUAAGACAAGAAAUGAAAUUUGUCAGGACUGAAGUUUUUUAUGGAAGUUUAUUAUUUUAAUUCUAUGUUGAUGCGCUUGACCUUUGUGAUGUCUUUUUUCAGACAUUACUAACUGGCAUAGGCCUGUGUUGCCUCAGAAACAUGGAUAAAGUAGUAUAGGAAUUGAAUUAUUCUCUGAUGAUUAAUAUUCAAUUAUUUUGUUUGUUGCUUAAUAAGAUGGUGUUCUAUCAUUUUCAAUUGAAAUGGUGUUAUGCCAACCAGAACUUACAGCUAAACUGUUAU
RNAcentral lists this long non-coding RNA (32525 nucleotides) under Daucus carota (carrot). RNAcentral describes it as "long non-coding RNA (DCAR_LNC001365)". The record is from RNAcentral. Lineage: Eukaryota; Viridiplantae; Streptophyta; Magnoliopsida; Apiales; Apiaceae.